CAGGAAAGUGACAGAACUUGUAAUACAUAUCCUGUUGUCAAAUACCAAUCUUAGUCUUGUGCAGAAAGGGCGCAUAGCAUCUACCCAGUCCUCUGUGGGGUGUAGCAAAUCCUGGAUCUUGUGGCUGCUGUGGAAGACAGGCUGGACCCCAACCUGGUUGAACAUGUUUACCAAUCUGUUUCAGAACCAACAAAUUGCUGCCUUGCUGAUGACGGUACAACAACAUCUGGCUGCACAAGCAGUGUCGGGGGCACAAUAACAGAAGCCCACUGACUGACACACCCAACAAGUGCCGCAAACCAGCAUACCACUAUUCCAGCAAUUUCAUGACACAGAAGAGGAAUGGCAUGAAUACCCAACAAAGUUCCAAGCUCAUUGUGCAGUUCAUCACAUUCAAGGAUGGACGUGAAUCAGGAGAAUACUGCAAUUGUGGCAGAUGAUCGGCGCAGACAAUGUUUGCCGCUCGCACCAUAGAAGCUGUAUGUGAUGUACAAGGAGCAAGCACACAUUAUUCUUUGAUGGUGUAAUGACUGUAAUUGUUAUGAACAAAUGAAAUAUGAUUUGACUAGAGACUCUUAAUUUUGGUGUUAGACUUGCUAGAAGCAAGAACUGUCUUUGAAUUUCUGAUGGUUAUUAAACUCACCACAUUGUAAAUAUACUUAAUUGUAUC
Schistocerca serialis cubense is the source of this 670-nucleotide long non-coding RNA. RefSeq lists it as uncharacterized. Lineage: Eukaryota; Metazoa; Arthropoda; Insecta; Orthoptera; Acrididae. The transcript is spliced from 4 exons. The record is from RefSeq and is a predicted model, not a curated record.